AGAUAAGGAGCUUGCUCCUUUGACGUUAGCGGCGGACGGGUGAGUAACACGUGGGUAACCUACCUAUAAGACUGGGACAACUUCGGGAAACCGGAGCUAAUACCGGAUAAUAUGUUGAACCGCAUGGUUCAAUAGUGAAAGAUGGUUUUGCUAUCACUUAUAGAUGGACCCGCGCCGUAUUAGCUAGUUGGUGAGGUAACGGCUCACCAAGGCAACGAUACGUAGCCGACCUGAGAGGGUGAUCGGCCACACUGGAACUGAGACACGGUCCAGACUCCUACGGGAGGCAGCAGUAGGGAAUCUUCCGCAAUGGGCGAAAGCCUGACGGAGCAACGCCGCGUGAGUGAUGAAGGUCUUAGGAUCGUAAAACUCUGUUAUUAGGGAAGAACAAACGUGUAAGUAACUGUGCACGUCUUGACGGUACCUAAUCAGAAAGCCACGGCUAACUACGUGCCAGCAGCCGCGGUAAUACGUAGGUGGCAAGCGUUAUCCGGAAUUAUUGGGCGUAAAGCGCGCGUAGGCGGUUUUUUAAGUCUGAUGUGAAAGCCCACGGCUCAACCGUGGAGGGUCAUUGGAAACUGGAAAACUUGAGUGCGAGAAGAGGAAAGUGGAAUUCCAUGUGUAGCGGUGAAAUGCGCAGAGAUAUGGAGGAACACCAGUGGCGAAGGCGACUUUCUGGUCUGUAACUGACGCUGAUGUGCGAAAGCGUGGGGAUCAAACAGGAUUAGAUACCCUGGUAGUCCACGCCGUAAACGAUGAGUGCUAAGUGUUAGGGGGUUUCCGCCCCUUAGUGCUGCAGCUAACGCAUUAAGCACUCCGCCUGGGGAUACACCGCAAGUG
Molecule: ribosomal RNA, 840 nt
Filed under: uncultured Staphylococcus sp.
Lineage: Bacteria; Bacillati; Bacillota; Bacilli; Caryophanales; Staphylococcaceae
Description: bacterial SSU rRNA
Rfam family: Bacterial small subunit ribosomal RNA
Source: RNAcentral